RNAcentral lists this unclassified non-coding RNA (158 nucleotides) under uncultured Dermateaceae. Its description in RNAcentral is "sequence contains ITS1". Lineage: Eukaryota; Fungi; Ascomycota; Leotiomycetes; Helotiales; Dermateaceae. The record is from RNAcentral.
CAGAGUUCGUGCCCUUACUGGUAGAUCUCCCACCCUGUGUUAUUAUACCUUUGUUGCUUUGGCGGGCCGCCCUCGGCUACCGGCCCCGGCUGGUACGCGCCCGCCAGAGGACCCUAAACUCUGAAUGUCAGUGUCGUCUCAGUACUAUACAAUAGUUA